UCUUUAUAUCUUUUAUAAAAAUGUGUUGUGCUUGUUGUUAAAUGUAUUUGACAUUGUUUAGUUAAUUAAAACGCAGGUUAACUACAAGUAUUGCAAUAUGGGAUUUGUUCAACAGCUCCCUCUUAUGAAAAACAACGUUAAAGUUUUACAGUAAACUUAAACGAGCUAAAGGCCAUUCUGAAUUAAUAACUGUUGUAUAUUUAUGGUUACUUCUUUCAGAUCCCUUUCUUGGUGUGUCUUGAUGUUUUAUAUUGGCUAAAGACAAGAUAUGUCUGCAAAUGCCGGUUCCAUGUCACAUGGCUUAUUCGAGACUAGAUCCACAAAAAACUCUGCAGAUUUUGUUACCAUCAACUUGCAUUAUACAACUGACAGACUGAAACGGUUGGACACAAAAAUCUACAUUUGUGUUCCACUGGAGAAACAAAGUCACCUACAUCUUGGAUGGCCUGGGGACUACCUGACCUGUUCCUGUUAAGAGCUAGUCACUCUUUGUGGAAUGUUCCUGGCCCAUUUUUUUCCACGUUUUUACAAAAGUUUUUUCAAUGACCUCAAAAUUGAUGUGUAAAAAUAAUAAUAAACUUGAAUUUGUU
Non-coding RNA from Misgurnus anguillicaudatus (oriental weatherfish), 590 nucleotides. NCBI's taxonomy places the organism in Eukaryota, Metazoa, Chordata, Actinopteri, Cypriniformes, Cobitidae. The record is from RefSeq and is a predicted model, not a curated record.